Molecule: long non-coding RNA, 750 nt
Filed under: Struthio camelus australis
Lineage: Eukaryota; Metazoa; Chordata; Aves; Struthioniformes; Struthionidae
Description: lncRNA (ENSSCUG00000014796.1)
Source: RNAcentral
GGACAGCACAGACACUGAAGACAGGCAGCCUUAACACAGCAUAACACCGCUGAGUGAUGGUGUGAGGAAGAAGACAUGCACAAAAAGAAAAUCUGAAUCAAGUCCGUCCAUCACAUGCAGAAAAGGCUUAUGAUAGGGGCAAAGCUGCUGCCUACUAAGAAGAGAUUUUCACUUCCUCGUCGGCAAAAAUGUCUGAAAUUCUCUCCAGCUUUGAUGCUACUGUUCAGUGAGCUCAAACCACAACUAGAAAUUUCAGUAACUCCAUGCUGUAACAUGGAAGAGAAAGAAGACACAAGCUGUCAAAAAUGGACAUGGAGUAUCUUCUCUGCCUUUCUCACUGAGCACUUUAUGAGUUUGUAUAGCUCUAUAAAGCGUGGCUCAAGAAGCUGACUCAUGGCCACCAUUAUCAAAAAAUAUCAACGAGUAAGACAUUGCACUAGAAAGGAGAUGGACCACAUGGAUCAUCACCAGCUGGACUGAUCGGAUAAAUCUGAGUUCCCCGAGGCGAGUGGUACUGCACAUCCCCUGCACAUUCUGUGUGUCAGCAGAGAAACGGAUCAAAGAAAAUAAGAAAUAAGGGGAUCUGCAGCUCUAAUGCAAUUUGCUAUUGCCAGGCAACAAAAAGACCAAGUAGAUAAAUGCUUAAAGACUAGGAGAAGCAAAAAACUUAUUUAGAGUUGGUUCUUAAGCAUAUGCAAUAUACAGUAAGGAAUCAAUAAAGCUGUGUUCUGGGCAUAGUAGAUAGAGGAU